This 144-nucleotide microRNA precursor is filed under the name Dasypus novemcinctus (nine-banded armadillo). Its description in RNAcentral is "miRNA (ENSDNOG00000027811.1)". The record is from RNAcentral. Lineage: Eukaryota; Metazoa; Chordata; Mammalia; Cingulata; Dasypodidae.
CAGAUGCACAGUUAAAUUUGAAUCUCAGAUAAGCAAUGCAUAAUUUGUUAGUGUAAAGAUGCCCCAUGCAAAAUUUGGCACAUACUUAUGCAAAAAAGAGUUCUUUCUUGCUCAUAGGAAGUUCAAAUUUAACUGAGCAACCUG